Molecule: ribosomal RNA, 752 nt
Filed under: uncultured archaeon
Lineage: Archaea
Description: bacterial SSU rRNA
Rfam family: Archaeal small subunit ribosomal RNA
Source: RNAcentral
ACGGGGUGCAGCAGGCGCGAAACCUCCACAAUGCGCGAAAGCGUGAUGGGGUUAUCCCGAGUGCCGUCCGAUGAGGAUGGCUUUUCAUCGGUGUAAGGAUCCGAUGGAAUAAAGGGGGGGCAAGACUGGUGUCAGCCGCCGCGGUAAUACCAGCCCCCUGAGUGGUAAGGACGAUUAUUUGGCCUAAAGCGUUCGUAGCCGGCUUAUCAAGUCUUUUGUUAAAUCCAACGAUUCAAUCGUUGGGCCGCAAAAGAUACUGUUAUGCUAGAGGACGGGAGAGGUCGACGGUAUUCCAGGGGUAGGGGUGAAAUCCUAUAAUCCUUGGAGGACCACCAGUGGCGAAGGCGGUCGACUAGAACGUGCCUGAUGGUGAGGGACGAAAGCUGGGGGAGCGAACUGGAUUAGAUACCCGGGUAGUCCCAGCCGUAAACGAUGCGGGCUAGGUGUUGGGGCAGCCACGAGCUGCUCCAGUGCCGCAGAGAAGUUAUUAAGCCCGCCGCCUGGGGAGUACGGCCGCAAGGCUGAAACUUAAAGGAAUUGGCGGGGGAGCACCACAAGGGGUGAAGGCUGCGGUUUAAUUGGAGUCAACGCCGGGAACCUUACCGGGGCUGACAGCAGAGUGAAGGCCAGACUGAAGAUCUUGCCAGACAAGCUGAGAGGAGGUGCAUGGCCGUCGCCAGUUCGUGCCGUGAGGUGUCCUGUUAAGUCAGGCAACGAACGAGACCCCCGCUUUUAGUUGCCAGCGGAUUCCA